CGCGAAGUAGAGCAGCGGUAGCUCGUCGGGCUCAUAACCCGAAGGUCACUGGUUCGAUCCCAGUCUUCGCAA
This 72-nucleotide transfer RNA is filed under the name Chitinophagaceae bacterium. RNAcentral's name for it is "tRNA-Met". It matches the Rfam family "tRNA". Rfam says of the family: Transfer RNA (tRNA) molecules are approximately 80 nucleotides in length. RNAcentral also lists the same sequence under 8 other names. Lineage: Bacteria; Pseudomonadati; Bacteroidota; Chitinophagia; Chitinophagales; Chitinophagaceae. The record is from RNAcentral.